GACGAACGCUGGCGGCGUGCCUAAUACAUGCAAGUAGAACGCUGAAGGAGGAGCUUGCUUCUCUGGAUGAGUUGCGAACGGGUGAGUAGCGCGUAGGUAACCUGCCUGGUAGCGGGGGAUAACUAUUGGAAACGAUAGCUAAUACCGCAUAAUAGUAGAUGUUGCAUGACAUUUGCUUAAAAGGUGCAAUUGCAUCACUACCAGAUGGACCUGCGUUGAAUUAGCUAGUUGGUGGGGUAACGGCUCACCAAGGCGACGAUACAUAGCCGACCUGAGAGGGUGAUCGGCCACACUGGGACUGAGACACGGCCCAGACUCCUACGGGAGGCAGCAGUAGGGAAUCUUCGGCAAUGGACGGAAGUCUGACCGAGCAACGCCGCGUGAGUGAAGAAGGUUUUCGGAUCGUAAAGCUCUGUUGUAAGAGAAGAACGAGUGUGAGAGUGGAAAGUUCACACUGUGACGGUAUCUUACCAGAAAGGGACGGCUAACUACGUG
This 495-nucleotide ribosomal RNA is filed under the name uncultured bacterium. Its description in RNAcentral is "partial 16S ribosomal RNA". It matches the Rfam family "Bacterial small subunit ribosomal RNA", at positions 28 to 507 of the family's 1533-position model. The record is from RNAcentral.